GACGAACGCUGGCGGCGUGCCUAAUACAUGCCAGUAGAACGCUGAAGCGAGGAGCUUGCUCUUCUUGGAUGAGUUGCGAACGGGUGAGUAACGCGUAGGUAACCUGCCUUGUAGCGGGGGAUAACUAUUGGAAACGAUAGCUAAUACCGCAUAACAAUGGAUGACACAUGUCAUUUAUUUGAAAGGGGCAAUUGCUCCACUACAAGAUGGACCUGCGUUGUAUUAGCUAGUAGGUGAGGUAAUGGCUCACCUAGGCGACGAUACAUAGCCGACCUGAGAGGGUGAUCGGCCACACUGGGACUGAGACACGGCCCAGACUCCUACGGGAGGCAGCAGUAGGGAAUCUUCGGCAAUGGGGGCAACCCUGACCGAGCAACGCCGCGUGAGUGAAGAAGGUUUUCGGAUCGUAAAGCUCUGUUGUAAGUCAAGAACGGGUGUGAGAGUGGAAAGUGCACACUGUGACGGUAGCUUACCAGAAAGGGACGGCUAACUACGUG
RNAcentral lists this ribosomal RNA (497 nucleotides) under uncultured bacterium. Its description in RNAcentral is "partial 16S ribosomal RNA". It matches the Rfam family "Bacterial small subunit ribosomal RNA", at positions 28 to 507 of the family's 1533-position model. The record is from RNAcentral.